RNAcentral lists this ribosomal RNA (161 nucleotides) under Adenocarpus telonensis. RNAcentral's name for it is "5.8S ribosomal RNA". It matches the Rfam family "5.8S ribosomal RNA". Rfam says of the family: 5.8S ribosomal RNA (5.8S rRNA) is a component of the large subunit of the eukaryotic ribosome. It is transcribed by RNA polymerase I as part of the 45S precursor that also contains 18S and 28S rRNA. Functionally, it is thought that 5.8S rRNA may be involved in ribosome translocation. RNAcentral also lists the same sequence under 2 other names. The record is from RNAcentral. Lineage: Eukaryota; Viridiplantae; Streptophyta; Magnoliopsida; Fabales; Fabaceae.
AGACUCUCGGCAACGGAUAUCUCGGCUCUUGCAUCGAUGAAGAACGUAGCGAAAUGCGAUACUUGGUGUGAAUUGCAGAAUCCCGUGAACCAUCGAGUCUUUGAACGCAAGUUGCGCCCGAAGCCAUUAGGUUGAGGGCACGCCUGCCUGGGUGUUGCACA